GGUAUGGUGGCUCAGAUGGUAAAGCAUCUGCCUGCAAUGCAGGAGACCUGGGUUCGAUCCCUGGAUCA
Molecule: transfer RNA, 68 nt
Filed under: Ovis aries (sheep)
Lineage: Eukaryota; Metazoa; Chordata; Mammalia; Artiodactyla; Bovidae
Rfam family: tRNA
About the family: Transfer RNA (tRNA) molecules are approximately 80 nucleotides in length. Their secondary structure includes four short double-helical elements and three loops (D, anti-codon, and T loops). Further hydrogen bonds mediate the characteristic L-shaped molecular structure. tRNAs have two regions of fundamental functional importance: the anti-codon, which is responsible for specific mRNA codon recognition, and the 3' end, to which the tRNAs corresponding amino acid is attached (by aminoacyl-tRNA synthetases). tRNAs cope with the degeneracy of the genetic code in two manners: having more than one tRNA (with a specific anti-codon) for a particular amino acid; and 'wobble' base-pairing, i.e. permitting non-standard base-pairing at the 3rd anti-codon position.
Source: Rfam by way of RNAcentral